This 427-nucleotide ribosomal RNA is filed under the name uncultured archaeon. Its description in RNAcentral is "bacterial SSU rRNA". It matches the Rfam family "Archaeal small subunit ribosomal RNA", at positions 474 to 903 of the family's 1478-position model. The record is from RNAcentral.
UACCAGCUCUCCGAGUGGUGUGGAUGUUUAUUGGGCCUAAAGCAUCCGUAGCUGGCUGGGCAAGUCCCCUGUUAAAUCCACCGAUUUAAUCGUUGGUGUGCGGGGGAUACUGUUCGGCUAGGGGACGGGAGAGGCCGACGGUAUUUUCGGGGUAGGGGUGAAAUCCUAUGAUCCCGGGAAGACCACCAGUGGCGAAGGCUGUCGGCUAGAACGCGCCAGACGGUGAGGGAUGAAAGCUGGGGGAGCGAACCGGAUUAGAUACCCGGGUAGUCCCAGCUGUAAACGAUGCAGGCUAGGUGUUUGGGCGGCCACGUGCCGCUCUAGUGCCGCAGAGAAGUCGUUAAGCCUGCCGCCUGGGGAGUACGGCCGCCAGGCUGAAACUUAAAGGAUUAGCGGGGAGCACCACAAGGGGUGAAGCUUGCGGUUU